This 1402-nucleotide ribosomal RNA is filed under the name uncultured bacterium. Its description in RNAcentral is "bacterial SSU rRNA". It matches the Rfam family "Bacterial small subunit ribosomal RNA". The record is from RNAcentral.
AGAGUUUGAUCCUGGCUCAGAUUGAACGCUGGCGGCAGGCCUAACACAUGCAAGUCGAACGGUAACAGGAAGCAGCUUGCUGCUUCGCUGACGAGUGGCGGACGGGUGAGUAAUGUCUGGGAAACUGCCUGAUGGAGGGGGAUAACUACUGGAAACGGUAGCUAAUACCGCAUAACGUCGCAAGACCAAAGAGGGGGACCUUCGGGCCUCUUGCCAUCGGAUGUGCCCAGAUGGGAUUAGCUUGUUGGUGGGGUAACGGCUCACCAAGGCGACGAUCCCUAGCUGGUCUGAGAGGAUGACCAGCCACACUGGAACUGAGGCACGGUCCAGACUCCUACGGGAGGCAGCAGUGGGGAAUAUUGCACAAUGGGCGCAAGCCUGAUGCAGCCAUGCCGCGUGUAUGAAGAAGGCCUUCGGGUUGUAAAGUACUUUCAGCGGGGAGGAAGGGAGUAAAGUUAAUACCUUUGCUCAUUGACGUUACCCGCAGAAGAAGCACCGGCUAACUCCGUGCCAGCAGCCGCGGUAAUACGGAGGGUGCAAGCGUUAAUCGGAAUUACUGGGCGUAAAGCGCACGCAGGCGGUUUGUUAAGUCAGAUGUGAAAUCCCCGGGCUCAACCUGGGAACUGCAUCUGAUACUGGCAAGCUUGAGUCUCGUAGAGGGGGGUAGAAUUCCAGGUGUAGCGGUGAAAUGCGUAGAGAUCUGGAGGAAUACCGGUGGCGAAGGCGGCCCCCUGGACGAAGACUGACGCUCAGGUGCGAAAGCGUGGGGAGCAAACAGGAUUAGAUACCCUGGUAGUCCACGCCGUAAACGAUGUCGACUUGGGAGGUUGUGCCCUUGAGGCGUGGCUUCCGGAGCUAACGCGUUAAGUCGACCGCCUGGGGAGUACGGCCGCAAGGUUAAAACUCAAAUGAAUUGACGGGGGCCCGCACAAGCGGUGGAGCAUGUGGUUUAAUUCGAUGCAACGCGAAGAACCUUACCUGGUCUUGACAUCCACGGAAGUUUUCAGAGAUGAGAAUGUGCCUUCGGGAACCGUGAGACAGGUGCUGCAUGGCUGUCGUCAGCUCGUGUUGUGAAAUGUUGGGUUAAGUCCCGCAACGAGCGCAACCCUUAUCCUUUGUUGCCAGCGGUCCGGCCGGGAACUCAAAGGAGACUGCCAGUGAUAAACUGGAGGAAGGUGGGGGUGACGUCAAGUCAUCAUGGCCCUCACGACCAGGGCUACACACGUGCUACAAUGGCGCAUACAAAGAGAAGCGACCUCGCGAGAGCAAGCGGACCUCAUAAAGUGCGUCGUAGUCCGGAUUGGAGUCUGCAACUCGACUCCAUGAAGUCGGAAUCGCUAGUAAUCGUGGAUCAGAAUGCCACGGUGAAUACGUUCCCGGGCCUUGCACUCACCGCCCGUCA